UCCUCAAAGGCUUAAAGAAGUGACUGAGCCAGAAAAACUGCAUGAAGUCAGGUCAUUAAGUCAUAGUGCACAGUGGCCCAGGAGCAGCCACUUGUAGAUUCAUACCUAGAGCCAAGCUGAGAUGGGUAAGCAACGAUGCGAUUUGAUCUGAAGAGGAGAUGUGUAGUAGUGUCAGGGCUGUGGGAAGAAGUGGGCUCUGUAGAGCUCAGAGCCUUCCUGGAGAAUUUUGCUGAUGCUUUUCAUGGAACUCAGAAGUCCGUGAUCCAUAGUGGAAGAUCCAAACAAAACUAACGACUCCAAAGGAACUAAAGAGGAACACAUCUUAUCUCCCAGCACCUCCCGAAGCAGAGGAAGAUUCCAAAGACUAGAAGAACAGGACCCAAUCAGUGAUCUCAACACACUCAAGCUGUGUUUGCAGCGUCAUCCUCAUCUCAUUUUAUAGAUGUGAAAAGAAGUCACCAGAGGCUACAGUCCACCUGGUCUCCAGCUGCUAUACAUCCUCAUCAAAUACCUUACGGUUUCCAUAGGUGACUAUAAUAUUUUUGCCAGUCUCAUCUGCUUACCAUCACCA
Molecule: long non-coding RNA, 571 nt
Organism: Marmota monax (woodchuck)
Lineage: Eukaryota; Metazoa; Chordata; Mammalia; Rodentia; Sciuridae
Exons: 3
Source: RefSeq, a predicted model, not a curated record